GAGGAGGGAGAGAAUGUUGGAAAAGAUAAAUGGAAAAAAGUGAGAAAAGAAAACGUGCGAUCGCGUAUGAAGGCGAAAACGGGAAAGAAGGAGGUGUGUGUGUGUGCCGAGCGGCUGGUUGAAAGAGAAAUAGCAAAAAAAGAAAAAAAAAAAUUUAUAAAGAUAUACGAAUAAUCUAGAUAAAACGAGAUACCAGAUAACGAGAUGACAUACUCCAUGCCUUACAUAGAAUUAUCUAAGCCUAAGUAGAUGUAUCUAAUUAGCCGUAUUAAUUCAGAAAUAAAUUACGAAAUUACGUGGUGGUCAACAAAGAAUCGAGAAAUCGAACGUAUGCACAAAUCGGGUUUUGCGAAUAGAUCUUUGAAAUGAAUGAAAAUGAUUUGAUUCGAUAUCUAUUCAACGUCGCAACGCAUUACGUUGUACAUACAUUUCCUUUUUAUUUCUUUCUUUUUCUCUUCUAGAAUAUGAAAACGAUAUAUAAGAAAGAAGAAUUCUGUGAUUAUAUUUGUAAAGAAAAGAAAUGUUGAUAUUAUCGAUUUAGUUGUGUAUGUGUUUUUAUUUCAAAGAAAAAAGAAAAAAAAAGAAAAAAAAAGAAACAUUUAUUUAGUAUAUUUAAAAUAUGAAACAUUAGAAGAAAUUAAAGUGGAAAGUGGUUGUGAUAACUUGUUUGAUCGUUUGGAGAGAUAUUUUCAUCGACGAUUAACCAUAAACAAAGUGCACGAUAGUUACGAAUAUAUAUAUAUAUAUAUAUAUAUACAAGUGAUUGAUAUAUAUAUAUAUAUAAAAUUGAUUUAAGGGCUGUAUUAAUCUACACGUAAAUUAGAAAAGGAUAGACAGAGAUAUACAGUACGAUUAAUCGAUGAAAAGCAUUAGAAUUAAUUAUUAUACCGAUUAAUUAAUUGAAUGCAUACACGUGUAUACAUUUAACAGCAGCAGUAAAAAUGAUGUACUUGUAUACAUAAAUACCAAUACAAUAUUAUUAUUACAAUUAUUAUUAUAUAUUAUACAUACAAAUAUAUUAUAUUGUAUACACAUUAGUGAAUGUUCAAUGUUGAAAUAAAAUACAUAUACGUUGUUUACACCAUAACAGAUUAUA
Molecule: long non-coding RNA, 1096 nt
Organism: Apis florea (little honeybee)
Lineage: Eukaryota; Metazoa; Arthropoda; Insecta; Hymenoptera; Apidae
Source: RefSeq, a predicted model, not a curated record